UACGAAGGGUGCGAGCGUUAAUCGGAAUUACUGGGCGUAAAGCGUGCGUAGACGGUAGCGUAAGUCAGAUGUGAAAGCCCCCGGGCUCAACCUGGGAAUGGCAAUGGAUACUGGCAGGCUAGAGUGCGGUAGAGGGUAGUGGAAUUCCCGGUGUAGCGGUGAAAUGCGUAGAGAUCGGGAGGAACACCAGUGGCGAAGGCGGCUACCUGGACCAGCACUGACACUGAGGCACGAAAGCGUGGGGAGCAAACAGG
RNAcentral lists this ribosomal RNA (254 nucleotides) under uncultured bacterium. RNAcentral describes it as "partial 16S ribosomal RNA". It matches the Rfam family "Bacterial small subunit ribosomal RNA", at positions 524 to 776 of the family's 1533-position model. The record is from RNAcentral.